ACUCCAACAGCACCGCCAUCGUGAAGAGAAGACUGGGUUAGGAUUUUAAUAAGCUUUAAACAAAUAAAUAUAUAAAGCCUAGCUACCAGGGACUGUGGGCUGUUUCCUGCUGCAUUCUGUCAGUGGUGCUCCUGGCCUCUGUCCGCUCUAGAACAGAGAAGCCAUGCAGCUGUCUUCACAUGUGGUCACUGUGCACAUGUGUGUGUAGGGGGGGGGGGUUCUUCUGAGAUGACCGCAUGCCCAUGGCUGUGAAGGAGGGAGGUACACCCCAUGCAGGCACACAGAUGUAGCAUCUGGGAGGCCUGUGUUAGUGCAGGACAUAGAGGGCAGAGAGCAAGGAGGGGUGUAAGGGCACACAUGGAUGACAACCAGACCUUCAGAGAGCUCGUCUCCAGAGCAUCACAUUCAGAGCUUGCCACAGUGCGAUGACCUCAGGAAAUACACGCCGAAGCAGUAAACGAACGGGUGGAUGCAGUCUGUGCCGGAAUCCUUCAACUUUAGCCGGCCCCUAUAAUUAAGCAUUACACCUUGCCUCUGACCUGGGGAAGCCCUAAUGCUCAUUUCACAGAUGAGAAAGCCGAGGCAGCCCUCUACCUCCCCUCUAGCCCUUGGCAGCCGAACCCAAGCUUUCUGGAUCCCAGACUUCCCGUGGAGCAAAUCAACCAUGUGGAACCGCUCAAGCUGACUUGGCUGUGACCUGCCCAGAUCACUCAAGAAUCGCUCUGCUGACAAGUCUGGUCAAAGGCUUGAGCUGUGCCCAGGGGUGGGAGUAACGCCUGGCACGGAGUGGACAUGGAGAUCCCUGGCGCUCCCUCCUCCUACCAGGCUGUAGAUGGACCACAGAUAGAUGGCCAAUUUUCAAAGAAUGAAAAUACUACAGUACGCCUGUCACCACACCGUUGACGCUUUGAUGGCUCAGAAAGCGAGUUUAGAGCCAGCUGGCGCACCUCGAUGGAGUCCUGACCUCCUGGCAUGGGGUGCUACCUGUGCAGCGUAGGGUGCCGAUUGAGCUCUGGAGCCUGCCACCACAGCUCAGAGUCUGCUUUAAAGGGAGGCAGAUGCCUUGAUGUGGGGCUCCCCUCUGUGAAUGACCCCCAACAGUGGCACUUCCAAAACUAGCCUGCACCAGGAGGGGCUGGCAGCCAGCUGAGUCUCUGGAGCCUCACUUCUCUUUGUCUCUGCGGUGCUCUGACUUGCUUUAGGCUCAGUGCUGGCCAGCUUGUUGGUCAUUCCUGCUUGCUGCUUCUUUAAACUGCUGACCACCAUGGACCCAUGAGUAUCCUCUGGAUCGCUCCAGCUUCCCCCAGCUCCUGGCCUCUGCGAUUCUGCCAGCUCUGUCAGGACAGGGGUUUGUGUGCCUGGUUUUGCAAACUCAGGACUCAAGACAGCGGCUGACAAUGGUGCCAUGUCCCUGCAAUAGACAUUUCCCAAACUCUCAUUCUCCACGUCCUGCUAUUACAGGCACGGUCCCACCACA
Molecule: long non-coding RNA, 1477 nt
Organism: Mus musculus (house mouse)
Lineage: Eukaryota; Metazoa; Chordata; Mammalia; Rodentia; Muridae
Product: predicted gene, 31313
Exons: 3
Source: RefSeq, a predicted model, not a curated record